Long non-coding RNA from Rosa rugosa (rugosa rose), 1165 nucleotides. RefSeq lists it as uncharacterized. Lineage: Eukaryota; Viridiplantae; Streptophyta; Magnoliopsida; Rosales; Rosaceae. The transcript is spliced from 2 exons. The record is from RefSeq and is a predicted model, not a curated record.
CCUCUCCCUCUCUCUCUCUCUCUCUCUCUCCUCCAAAACCACGACCAUCUUCUCUCUUUCUUCUCCGUGUAUGAGCCCAAGCUGGUUAGAACUUGGAUGAGUAUCAAUAGACACUUCCCAAUCAGUUUUCCAGCUCCGUCCGGCCUCUUCUCGGUGGCGCACCGCCUACUUUAGGACCACCUCGACGUCGUGACCAAACCUGUGGCCUGGGUUUCCACCGACGGUCUACGGCAUAGUCGAUUCGAAGGAGGGGAGUUUCUUUGGUUCCGAAGGUUUUCUUGUGUUUUCCGGCGACUCCGGUCGCCGAUGAUGACAUGCAAGGAGGUUUGAACUUCGAAUUGGAGAAGGGAACGAGAGAGAGAAGGGUAUCCACCAAUUGUCCUGGGUUGCGUUAUUGGAGAACAGCCACACUGUUGUUGGUGUGUGCUGAUGCGUGAACUGGUCUGAUCGAUACAACCUGCAAUUGAAUUUGGAAUGAAGAUCACAAUCUGUGCAAUUCUUAAUUAAGGUAUAAUUCCAAACUCUGGGUGGGCUUGGAGGUCGUCGACUGAUGUGAGAGAAGCAUUUUUGGGUGGUACCCGACAGAUCAAAGAGAGGAGUUGCCGAGAUUGUUGACUUGUGGCAGCGGAAUCAAACUCACGGGCUAGUGUGCGUGAAGAGGCAGAUGCGAGAGAGAAGGGUCCGGGUGCAGAGAGAGGAUUCGGGGUGUCCAAAUCAACUUUCCUGGGUCUGCGCCGCCUUCGAAUCCAUGGCUCUGCAAAUGGGUCUCUGUUCUUUAACCUCGCAGCUAGAAAGAGGAAUCCAGCUUGGGCUCGUACAUGGAGAAGAAAGAGAGAAGAUGGUCGUGGUUUUGGAGAAGAGAGAGAGAGAGAGAGAGAGAGGACCCAAAAAGAAAAGAAAAAAUAUGACUUUAGGGUAUUUUAGGAAGUGUAAAAUGUUGUGAGAUGAAAUAGUAUUAAAAAAAUAAAAGGGUUUGCCAUUUGCAUUACUUGGAUGCACUUGUUAUAUGGCGCCUAAGGAUCUUAUCACCGAAGUCUUAAGCAAUUCCCAUCCUCUCACUGGAGAAAAGGAUAAUACAUGACAUUUUCGAUCAUCUAGCUAAUUAUAUAUAUAUGUAUAAGGCCCCUCAAAUUGUCUUAAUCUGUGCAAACUUAUGUAAAUUAAC